UUUUCGGCAACCUGGAUACCAUCUUCGACACUGGGACAAAUCCCGGGAUGGAGUCCAGGGUUUCCCGCGGCUUCGGCGCUUCCUGACCUGGCGUGACUGCCGACUUGUCGGCACCACCCAGGCCUCAGGCUCCCUGUCUGUAGUGGUGAAUCGACCUUCCUCAUGGCAGUCCAGGCUCCCCAAGCCCCAUGUCCUGGUGAUCCGGGGUAAACUCUUCCUUGAACAUUCUUCACUACGAGCCGCUGCUGAUCUGUACUGCCUGGAGGAGCAUUUCCAUAGCGCCCGCAAAAAUACAAUAAAGCUCACCCAAGGAAAUAACCAUGGAUUCUCACGCCUGGGUGCCAGUGUUUGGAAUCGACUGGGCUUUUUUAUGUUAGUAGGCAAUUUAAAACAAUUACUUAUUUGAAAUCAGAAGCGCAAUAGGCACAACUUCAGCUCAAGAUCCCAGAGGAAGAGGAGCCAUCUUUCCCAGUGGCUUUAGCAGAAAAGUCCCUGAGCCAGUCACUGUGCCCACUGGAAGACAAAUGGAGACUCGCCAAGCUUUGGUCAUGAACUCACUGGGACUGCAGGAGACUGGGUCAGCCCCACCAAAAUAAUGCAAAAGCAGAGCCUCACUGUGUCACGGAGGCCAGAGUGCAGUGGCGGAAUCUAGACUUACCACAACCUCCACCUCCCAAGUUCAAGCAGUUUUCCUGCCUCAGCCUCCCAAAUAGCUGGGAUUACAGGUACGCACCACCAUACUUGGCUAAGUUUUGUAUUUUUUGUAGAGACAGGGUUUUGCCAUGUUGCCCAGGCUGAUCUCGAACUCCUGACCUCAAGUGAUCUACCCAC
Molecule: long non-coding RNA, 831 nt
Organism: Gorilla gorilla gorilla (western lowland gorilla)
Lineage: Eukaryota; Metazoa; Chordata; Mammalia; Primates; Hominidae
Exons: 3
Source: RefSeq, a predicted model, not a curated record